This 58-nucleotide transfer RNA is filed under the name Chloroflexota bacterium. Its description in RNAcentral is "Chloroflexi bacterium tRNA-Ala". It matches the Rfam family "tRNA", at positions 7 to 62 of the family's 71-position model. Rfam says of the family: Transfer RNA (tRNA) molecules are approximately 80 nucleotides in length. Their secondary structure includes four short double-helical elements and three loops (D, anti-codon, and T loops). Further hydrogen bonds mediate the characteristic L-shaped molecular structure. tRNAs have two regions of fundamental functional importance: the anti-codon, which is responsible for specific mRNA codon recognition, and the 3' end, to which the tRNAs corresponding amino acid is attached (by aminoacyl-tRNA synthetases). tRNAs cope with the degeneracy of the genetic code in two manners: having more than one tRNA (with a specific anti-codon) for a particular amino acid; and 'wobble' base-pairing, i.e. permitting non-standard base-pairing at the 3rd anti-codon position. Lineage: Bacteria; Bacillati; Chloroflexota. The record is from RNAcentral.
GUAGCUCAGCUGGGAGAGCACCGCGUUCGCAUCGCGGGGGUCAGGGGUUCGAGUCCCC